UUGUAUAAUAUAGAGAAGCUAUUUUUAUAUUUUCUUGUUAAUUAUAGGCUAUUCAAAUUUCAAACAUUGUCAAAAAAGAUUCAUCUAAACAUUACAAUAAGCUAGUGAAAUCAGAAACCCUAACACCUUCAUGUAGACCUCAGCUACACUAAAAGAUCCAAAUAUUGUAUCUAAAUCUAUAUAUUCCUAUUAAAACAAAGUUUCCUCCUCCCCUCCUUCAUUUAUCUGAAUUAAACUUUAUGAGUUCAAUCAAACACAUUGCAUCUACCCAAAAUCCAUCAUUAAAUUGCCAAGAGCCUUCAUGAAUUCAUGCAGCAGGAGCAUAAUCAUAGUCUCCAUCAUCGUCAUCUCCAUCUGAACAUGACCUUCUCUUCUCAAACCCUAUAAUUUUGAAAAUUCCAAACAUUUUAUUACUCUAUGUAAUCUUGAAUUAUGAGCUAUUUGAUAUAUGUACUUGUACCUCUUUUGAUAAGAUGGUGAGAUUAAUG
RNAcentral lists this long non-coding RNA (488 nucleotides) under Capsicum annuum. RNAcentral describes it as "long non-coding RNA (CANN_LNC013518)". Lineage: Eukaryota; Viridiplantae; Streptophyta; Magnoliopsida; Solanales; Solanaceae. The record is from RNAcentral.